This 90-nucleotide transfer RNA is filed under the name Ideonella sp. RNAcentral's name for it is "tRNA-Leu". It matches the Rfam family "tRNA". Rfam says of the family: Transfer RNA (tRNA) molecules are approximately 80 nucleotides in length. The record is from RNAcentral. Lineage: Bacteria; Pseudomonadati; Pseudomonadota; Betaproteobacteria; Burkholderiales; Sphaerotilaceae.
GCCCGGGUGGCGGAAUCGGUAGACGCAGCGGGCUUAAAACCCGCCACUUCCGAAAGGGGUGUACGGGUUCGAGUCCCGUCCCGGGCACCA